GAUUAUGUCUCGUUGGUGACCAGCGGAGGGAUCAUUACAGAGUUGCAAAACUCCCACAAACCAUCGCGAAUCUUACCCGUACGGUUGCCUCGGCGCUGGCGGUCCGGAAGGCCCUCGGGCCCCCGGAUCCUCGGGUCUCCCGCUCGCGGGAGGCUGCCCGCCGGAGUGCCGAAACCAAACUCUUGAUAUUUUAUGUCUCUCUGAGUAAACUUUUAAUUAAGUCAAAACUUUCAACAACGGAUCUCUUGGUUCUGGCAUCGAUGAAGAACGCAGCGAAAUGCGAUAAGUAAUGUGAAUUGCAGAAUUCAGUGAAUCAUCGAAUCUUUGAACGCACAUUGCGCUCGCCAGUAUUCUGGCGAGCAUGCCUGUUCGAGCGUCAUUUCAACCAUCAAGCUCUGCUUGCGUUGGGGAUCCGCGGCUGCCCGCGGUCCCUCAAAAACAGUGGCGGGCUCGCUAGUCACACCGAGCGUAGUAACUCUACAUCGUUCUGGUCGUGCGGCGGGUUCUUGCCGUAAAACCCCCCAAUUUCUAAGGUUGACCUCGGAUCAGGUAGGAAUACCCGCUGAACUUAAGCAUACAAAAAG
This 584-nucleotide ribosomal RNA is filed under the name Neurospora sp. GSH5_6_7. RNAcentral's name for it is "eukaryotic LSU rRNA". The stretch from base 226 to 379 matches the Rfam family "5.8S ribosomal RNA". The record is from RNAcentral. Lineage: Eukaryota; Fungi; Ascomycota; Sordariomycetes; Sordariales; Sordariaceae.